This 1101-nucleotide long non-coding RNA is filed under the name Mustela putorius furo (domestic ferret). Its description in RNAcentral is "lncRNA (ENSMPUG00000028505.1)". The record is from RNAcentral. Lineage: Eukaryota; Metazoa; Chordata; Mammalia; Carnivora; Mustelidae.
AGGAACCAAAGAAACCUGCAGGCUCUGUCUAUUCACCCAGGGAUCGCUUUCCUGGUGGUGAAAUGAAACCAGCUUCUUUGUGGAACGGAGUGAUCACUGGCUGCCAGUAACACGACCCUCUACAAUGUGUAGAGAGGGAAAUGAAGGCUAGCUCAUCCGAAGGAAACUACAGGGCAAUUUUAGAUCAGCAGAAUGCAAUUAUCCAAGUUGGAAUUGUUCCAGGACACCAAAAGCGAACUUUAAAGCAAACUGUACUCCCAAAAUGGGACUCAAACUCAUGACCUAGAGAUCAAGAGUCACAUGUUCUACUGACUGAACAGGUAGGUGCUCCUCUGCAGUAUUUUUUCAUAAAUUAUUGGCAAUAGCCUUUUUUCUAAGUUUGAAAUACUUUCAUAAGCCCUUAAAAAACCCUAGCCCACAUUAACUUAUAGAUUAAAUAUUUCUGCUCUUACCAUUUGGGUUCAGGCCAAAUAGCAUCCCAUACUCAGAAGAGGUGUUUUCUAACUACCCUUUCCAAAAUAUCUACCCACUUCACAUUCAGUGGCUUUCUGUCAUUUAUUGUACUUUUUAUAGUUUCUAUAUGACUGAAUGAAUUCACACAUCCUAGGUUAAUUCUACCGUAAUACUGAUUUAAAAUAAUAAUACUGAUUUAAAUUUGCAUUUGUAUAGAACUCAUAACUAAACCAUAGUGGUUUCAACAGUAACAAUUCAAGAUGCCAUUUUCAAAGGUAUCUGGUGUUGUAGGGUAGGAGGUUGGGCAGUGGCUCAUUUUAAGUUUUAAAUACAAAAACACAUACAUACAUGCACACAUACUUCCAUCAAGGAAACUUUAAAAACAAAAAAAAAAUUUCAGGUAUAAAUCAAAUAUCUUGGUGAAAACUACGGGACAGAAAAUGUAGCACUCAUUUGUGAAGCUCCAGACCAGAGAAGUAUGUAAUGGUAUCAUUCAGCCUUCAAAAACAGUAAUGGAAAGCAAGUAUCAGAGCCCAUGGAGGCUCCCUUUACAGAGAUUGAAUUUUAAUUAUCUUCCAGAAAUCACUUUGUUUAAAAAAAAAAAUCUCUUGUUAAACAACACCUCCUGAUAUUUUGAUAGAUACCAGG